Vicia faba (fava bean) is the source of this 252-nucleotide non-coding RNA. The record is from the annotation of a GenBank genome assembly. Lineage: Eukaryota; Viridiplantae; Streptophyta; Magnoliopsida; Fabales; Fabaceae.
AUGGAAUUUUGGGCUAUCGAGGGAUUCAGUGUUUGUCAUAUUUUACAAGAGACGCUUACUUAUAAAUCUGAUCAUAAUAAAGCACUUCAAGAAUUACUUGGAACUACAAUUAUGGGAGGAACAAUAUUGAAACCUUUGGAUGCUCCAGAAUCUUUUCGAUUGCUCAUUCGUAAACUACAAUCUUUGGCUCUGGAUGUGAAUAAUUUCCUUGUAUCUGAGAAAGACUUUCACAUUCAAAGGAAGGAAUUUUAA